RNA transcript from Tyto alba (common barn owl), 8328 nucleotides. It is a transcript of the gene named microtubule associated protein 6, with no coding region annotated. The transcript is spliced from 4 exons. The record is from RefSeq and is a predicted model, not a curated record. Lineage: Eukaryota; Metazoa; Chordata; Aves; Strigiformes; Tytonidae.
CGUGGGCGUGGCCAGCGCUCCGCCCCUCCGCGGGCUGCCCGGCGCUGCGGCGGGCGCGGUGCGGGGCCGCGGGCGCGGUGCGGGGCCGCGGGUGCGCUCCUUGCGCGGGGGCCGCCAUGGCGUGGCCCUGCAUCACCCGCGCCUGCUGCAUCGCUCGCUUCUGGAACCAGCUGGACAAAGCCGACAUCGCCGUCCCCCUCGUUUUCACCAAAUACUCCGAGGCCACCGAGCAACCCGCCGCCUCCGCGCUUCCUCCGCGCCCCGCCGCUCCCAUCGAGACCCAGCCCGGCGGCGAGGCGGGCGGAGGAGGAGGAGGAGGAGGAGGAGGAGGAGGAGGAGGAGGAAGCGGGGGCGGCGGGGAACCGGCUCCCGGUGCUGCUCGGCCCGGCCCGGCCCCGCAUCCCUCUCCCCCGGCUGACUCGGUGAUGCGACACGAUUACAAACCCUGGAAGGUGCAACGACCGGAGCCGAGUUGCAAACCCAAAAGCGAGUACCAGCCCUCGGAUACCCCUUUCGAAAAGGAGACGCAGUACCAGAAGGAUUUCCGUGCCUGGCCCAUCCCCAAACGGGGGGACCAUCCCUGGAUCCCCAAACCGGGACCUUCCCCCGUCCUCGCCCUGGACCGCGGUUCGCCGGAGAAAACAGCUCAGGAAAAACGACGGAAGGUUCUCCCCGCUCCCGAAAAGAAAGAGGAAGACCCCGAGGGGGAGGAUGAGCAGCUCAAAGGGGUGCGAGCCGGGGAUGGGAGAGAGAAGGGGAGGAAGAAGGCGGAGGAGGCGGGGGGGCAGCCCCCGGCCGCGGGCAGGGGCAGGGCGGCCGCCGAUGCUCUCAACAGGCAGAUCAAGGAGGAGGUGGCGGCGGGGGUCAGCUCGUCUUACAGAAACGAGUUCAGGCCCUGGGUAGACAUCAAGCCCGUGAAGGCUAUAAAAGCAAAGGCCCAGUACAAGCCGCCAGAGGAGAAAAUGACCCAUGAAACCAGUUACAGCGCUCAAUUCAAGGGGGAAACCAGUAAGCCUGCUCCAGCCGAUAACAAAUUCCUGGAGCGCAGAAGGAUACGCACUCUCUACAGCGAACCCUACAAAGAACCACCAAAGGUGGAAAAGCCUAGCGUAAAGCCUUCCAAACCAAAAAAGACCACAACAAGCCAUAAACCCCUGAAAAAGGCCAAAGACAAGCAGAUUGCAUCUGGCCGGGCUGCCAAGAAAAAGAGCGCCGAGACCUCCAACACAGCAAAGCCAGAGGACAAGGAGAAAAGUAAAGAGAUGAACAAUAAACUGGCUGAGGCAAAAGAGUAAAUGUCACUGCACUUUCCUUUCUUUCUUGUCUUUUUUUUUUCCUUUUCUUUAUUUCUUUCUUUCUUCCUUCCUUCCUUCCUUCCUUCCUUCCUUUCUUUCUUUCUUCCCUUUUUUUUUUUUCCUUUGAUUAAAUAAAGGCCACAAAAUUAAUUAGAGGCUUCUAAUCUGCUUUUUGUUCUGAUUGUAUUAGAAGCUUUUCUGUUUUAUUUCCAAGGAGGAUUAGGGAAUCCUUGUUUCUGAGGUCAGGUUGUUCUGCUUUGCCUGCACAACACGGCUCUGCACAGAGUGAGGGAUGUGGGAAUGCACAAGCGGGGUCAUAGGAGAUGAAGGUGAUGGAUCAACCAUGAUUGACUCCAACAGCCUGACCCUUUCCUCAGGCUUGGUCCUUCAACACUUUGAUGGUGUGGAAUGCCUGUUGAGCCAUGGAGGGGCUGUACUCUCAUCCCAUGAGGCCCUUCUGGGGUUGGCCAUUGUUUGGUUGUCUCCCACUGGUGUCAGCAGGUGAAAGGUUUUGGAGGCAGAGAGGAUCAGAGGUUCAUUCACGGUGCCAUGGAUCUGCUGUAAAUCCACUAGAAUCAGUGGUGUGGCCAAGAGUGAUUUCCCCUGGUGACACUGGUGGGACUUUUGCUCCAAGAAGCAACAGAGAAGGAGACCCCGUACAAAUAAAGGGCCAAAUAUUUCCCCAGGGUAGCUGGUGGAUAGUUCUAGCUGCAUCAGGGCAGCUUCACCCAUCAACACCACUCAAAAGACUUGAUUUAAAAGAAAAAAAAAAGGAGUGAGGGAGGGCACAGAGAGCAGUGAAGACUUCCCAAGCAUGUGGCAGGUCAGACUAGGUUAUCAGCAGGCUGUUCUUCCCUAUUGUUUUCCCUAGGUUAUGGAUCUUUUUAGUUAUUCCUGGUUUGUUUUGAAUCUUGGUCUGCUUUCUUCACUUCUGGGGUGCCAGUAGACAGAGCUAGAUUUCAGAAAGAGGUUUAGUUUGCAGAUGUGGCCUUCCAAGGAGUAAAAAGAAAUGUCACCAAGGUUGUCUAGAGCUGUCAGUCCCCACUGUUCUGACUCUACCAGCUGUUGGAGUUCAUGUUGGCUCAUAAGCAUCCUCAGAGGGCCAUAAACCAGUUGCUGGGAUCCGCAGACUCCCUCCAGGCAAAAUCUCAGAGUUUCAAUCUUAUUUACUGUGCUCUUACUCUAGGAAAUCCCCAUGCCCAGCAAGACCAGUUUGGAAGCUGUAAAUUCAGCGGGACCAUUUGUCAGCAAGUAUGAACUAGCCCAACAGAUUGGGGAUGCAUACCCCAAAAUUUGGGUCGCUGAGUCAAUGAGAUCUGGGAGAGGUACAAUCCAAAUCCAAAUUUACAUGCCUAACUCCUGGAUUUGGUCCUAAAUAUGUAAGGAUUAAUCUUGAUCCCACCAAACCGAGCUGUUAAACGCUCCUGUAGCGGAGUAGCUGCAAGUCAAGAUGCAGGGUUCUUUAAUUUUGCAGCUCAAUAUUUCUAUCCUAACGUGCAGUCCAGCUUGAAACUUUCAGAGAACAGACAAUUGGGAAGAACGAAGAGAUGGGAAGUAGGGUAGGGAGGUGGUAUAAGAGGAGAGUAUCAGAACUGUUGAUGUAAAGGUGUUCGAAUGAGGAGAGUCUUGCUGCUAGGAUAUUUUAGAGAUGUGAAACUAUCUAACAGAAAAAGGGAUGGGCUGGGAGGGCGAGAAGUCCUGGUUUUGGGAUCUCACCCCAUUAGAAUUGGGUCUUUUGGAAACAUAAAUGAGUGGUGGGCUACAAGGCUGAGAGAAAGUUUCCAAAGAGGAAGAAAGCUCUGUGGUAUACAGACAGUGACAUUUGCUGGCCUUAGUAAUGAAUAAAUGCCAAGUUCAGUGUAUUGUGUGAUGUGUCCUGUUUGCCUUGCGCUAACAGCCUAAACCUUUGAGUAUCAGUAAGUGUAGUGUUCUGAAUUCAGUGGUGUAUUUCCAAGCUUAGCUGUGUUAGAACUGUGUGCUAUGAGCUAGUCAGGUUGUGUAUGUGGAAAAUAUAUAUUCAUAUAUAGAAAUAUAUAUAUUUAAACCUCCGCUGUUUAGGAGGAAACCAGGGAAAUCCUCCAGGAAGUAAAACUGUGGAAAUCUUUGCGAAUGUAGUGCAUUUUUUGAUGUGCAUGCUCCAUGGAGACGCUGACCUGUCCAUAUUGACCAUUGCUUUCCUGAGUGCUCAGAAGCCUUUGCAGCACUGCUCAAGUGCAAAGCUCAGCUCUGUCUCCAGAGCAGCUUGGCGAAAAGCUUGUGUUCAGCUGGUUGGAGAGGAGUGCUGCUCGCAGCUCUUCCCACCCCGUCGCACAAGGGACAACUGGCCAGAGAAACCCGAGUUUCCAAGACUUGGUGUGAUUCCUUGGCAUUUAGAUGCUUCAUGCAUCUUCACACUCCUCAGUAACGUCCUUUCCUAUCGCAGGAUGUAGCAACAGCCGUGAAGAUGAUGUGUGACAGCAGGCAGAACAUGUCAGGAAGGCACGUAGAUAGUUACCAAUAGCCCAACACACCGAUCUCACUGUACAUAGGGAAAGACCAUGCCAAACAAUUCUCCCUAUUAUUUUUUGGCCCUAAGUUUCACAUUGAAAGAGACACCACACUUGCCACCAUUUCACCUUGAAUUCAAUGGGAAUUUAGCCUUUGACAAAGGGUGCCAAAAUUUUGCCCAAGGAACAUCACUAAGAUGCUCAGACCAUGGUCUAAGUAUCUCCAUGAUUCUGGAUCAACUGAUCACCAUCCAGGGCUUCAGGAUUGCUUCUUCUCAGUGAAGAGCAUCCAUCUUUUGGAUGAAACAUGCACAGUGUUUGGAUGAAACAUGUUUGGAUGAAACAUGCGCAGUGAGUGGCCAGAAAAUGGCCUUAUGUUCCCUUAAUACAUGAAGAUUUUGGUGGCAUCUAACUACAAAGCUAGGUAUGAGGGGCUAGCCAGUGGUCUAAACUCCCUUUCUAGUGAAGGAACUUUCCAAGGGCCAUUGAGCUACCUAUUUUGGACACCUGUCUUUGGGUGGGAUGAAUGAUCCUUGGAAGGUUUCAAUCUUUGCAGAAAGAGCUUGGGAGACUGGUAUGACCUGGGGACCUCCCUCUCAGACAGCGACAAAAUAGGCAUAUAAAUCCUGGCCUUUGCUCCAUGUGCAUCAGGUCCUCAGCAUACAUCCAAGCAUGCAAUUUAGCAUUGCAUUGAAUGCCAGGAACUGCAGCAGAGUCAUGGCUCAGGGUGAAAUCCUGCAUUGCUCUACCUACCACAGACUUUAUGCCCAUCCAACCCACUCAGGUUUAUCAGAAAGGAGACCAAACCUCUGCCGUUUCAAGUUCACUUUGGACUCUGAUCUUGUCAAUCCCACUGGGAAAGAGUGCUCUGCUUUUCUGUGUUUCGAGCUACCACAAUGCUGAUUCUGUUUCACUGCCAAUUUGUAGUAUGUUUUGCUUUCCUUGUUAAAAAAAAAAAAAAAAAAAAAAAAAAGAAAUGUUUUGCUUUUUACCCUGUGAAAUUUCCUAUGCUGUCUAUUGCUUGCUUUCUCAUUUUCACUGUAUUGUACUGUUACUCCUUUCUGCAAAAUGGUGCUAAUUGCUGACUGAGCUCCUGUUUUCUGACUGCUUUGCACACCGAUCACCUGCUUCUUCAUUUGCAAUGCGUCCGGUGUAAAAACAUGGCUCCCAUGAAUUCCACAAACUCUUGCCUCUUGGAGGCAGAUAGGAAGUGUCUAAUUACUAUUUUGUGGCCUGGGUUUGGUUGCAUAUCACAAAUUGUCUCUUGUAAUGUGUGAAGCACACCUUCUCUUGGUGCUUUUUCAUUCUUGCUGUUCUACUGAGAAUGACACACACACACACACACACAAACACACACACAUAUUAAUGUAUAGCCAAUUGAUUGUGACGUGCUUGUGAUCUUUGCUUGCUCAAAGGGUUUUUUUUCCAAUGAUAAAUAAAUGCUAAAGACGAAUAUCACCUCCUUGAUCUUGUUUUCUCGAUAAGAAGCACAAUUGAGUGAAAGAAACACCCUUCCAACCGUAAUCAGAUUUGUGUUGCUUAGAGCCACCACUUCCAUGCCUGCCGCAGGGACAACUUAAGCUGUCACAGUCUGAGUCCCUUUAGAUGGCCGCUAACCUCAGACUAGCCUGACGUGAGAGAUAAGCGUUUGCAAAUGUGAAGAUGGACAGUGAAGUCAUGUGGACGGAGCAGGUAGUUUGCUUUUAUUUUCUAUGUAUACGGCGUCUUGAGCAGCGAGUUCGUGCGGUGAGUGCCCUGCAUGCAAGCUGCUGCUGCGCCUUGCUCGUGUCCACGUUGUGCUGGAUGAGGGAGCAGAAACUGAGCCCCACCGAGAGCCAGAGGGAGGGGAGGUAAUGUGGAUGAGGUCGCUUAAUUACACACCCUUUUCCAACUGCCUACAGCUUUUGCUUUGGCUCAAAACCAGCUGAAAGGCCCAUGAGAGGGGUCAAGGGAGUGUAAAUCCUCAUGGAAAGGAGGUGGCAAAUUCUUGGGGUGAGCACUUUCAGCAUGCUGCAAAGGUAGCCACCGUUGAGCAGGCACUUGGCAGUGUCUGUGGAAGUGCAAAGCACUGAUUUUAUAUUAAUGAAAGUGUUGGCUGUCUGGAGAAAAUGAUGGUUGAGAAAAAAGCAGGGCUGAGGGCACAAUUUUAUUUUAAAUGGUGAACCCUAAUCUUAGCUUCAUCUCUUUUUUUUCUUUUAAUUAACCUGUAAGAUCCUACCUGCAAUUUUGAUUUUUAAUCACAUUUUCUCCUUCAAUGGAUAUUCCAAUAACAUCCCCACCAACUUGGGGAAAAUUGUCUGCAUUGGAGUUGUGUUUUGAAAUCUCUCCUCCAACAUACAUCUUCUGAUUUCCAUGGAGCACCAACCCUUUUCUACCUUGCCGUUUCUGGGUGCUAUUUCUCAUCCCUGCUUGGUUUACAAAUCACUUUCUGAAUUUAUUCCAUCUGUGACUACAUGCUAAUAACAGUGCUGCUUUCUGAUGACCUGCUGUAUCACCCUGCCUUCCCUCUCCCUUCCCCACCAGCUUCAUCCAUUCAUCAAUCACACAUAACUAUGUGACCUUUAAAGUGUUUCAGCUGAGCUGUAGGUCUGGGGAUUUAUUAUUCCACCUCUCCACAGCUGGUGUUGGAAAAAAAUGUUCAUUGUUAAGUGAUUGGUUGUUGAUGAGGCUUAUCUGUGACAACCCAUGUUGGCUAACAAAAUGGCUCUCCCAUGACAAAAAGGCACAGGGUCUUUUCCAUGCUGAAGCAUGGAUGGAUAAUCCAUCUGGUCCCACCCAGCUGCCCACACUCAGUAUUGGAAAACAUGCCUUUGCUUCCCAGUUGCUCUCUCAACUUGCUCAGCACUGCAAAGCCUAAACACCCAAAGGGGCAGGGUGCAUUUCUAAGAGACAAUAGAACCUACUGAGCUGAUGACAGGCAUGGGCACCUGGGCUCCCUGGUCUUUAACCAUCCCUGUCUGAUCCCGGCUGCUACUGACUCACUCCUUAAUCUUUGCCAAGUCAUUAGUGACUGGCACUGCUCACCUAUUUCCAAGAACUGUUGUGAGAAUGAUGUUUGAGCAAAGCAUUGGAGGUGGGUUACUAAAAAUGAAAUACUUUGUCUUAUAAGGGCAUUCAGUGUGGAGGCACUGGCUGGAGUAAAGGUAGUCCUAAUUGUCAGCAUCGGUGUCUGGUGAGGGGACAAGGAGGGGAGAGAAAAUAUUGGCAUGUUGAAUUUAAAGAGUCAAGUCUGCACUCUUAAUAAUGAAGCAUCUGAGGGAGGCUUUGCAGAGAUGUUGCUUUGAAUGCACAGUGUGUGUGCAGCCCCAUGAGGGGUGGCCAGGAUGUUUCCAAUCGUAAUCAGUUGCUUUCAAAUAUAUCAUGUGCUGAGGGCUUCAGCAGACACCCCUGGAGACUUGUGCAUGGGUAGAUGCAGAGGUUCCUGCCUGAUGCUCCCCAUCCCUCCAUCCCAUUCCUUGUAUUAGAUGGAAGCUUAAGUGCCUUGAGCACAGGACUGAGAUUUACCAAUUUUGCCACUUCCAAAUCUCUGAUCUUCCUUUGAAAAUUUCAGUUAUCAUUAUUACAGCCCUGACUGGUAAAGCAAGGUCUAAGGAUAAGUAUGGAUAUUUUGUGAGCUGACAUGUCAGCCCUUCCAUGAAUCUAGUCUCUUGCAUUACAACAUCCUUUGGAUUUAGGGUUUUAUUUAGAGUUGUGUCAGUGCCGGGGAGAAAGGGACUUUUUAAGAAGAUGUCUCUGUCAUAGCUGGUACCUUCCAACAUCCAAGGAAUAACCACCAACCCCCAACAGCAUCAAAUAAAGAAGAGGAGCUGUACCGGAAGAAGAAGCUCCCUAGUAUGAAUGUGAUGACAUGGCCAUGUUCAACACUAAGAACAGCGUCUUUUGCACAGUUGGAAAAUACUCUGAUGUUCAGACAUAGGCUUCAGCUCUCCCUGUUUCCAGCAGUAUCAUGGUAAGUUUGAUCCAAUUGGGGAUUUGACAGCCUGUUCCAUUUACCCUUAUUCACAUGAGCUUUCUGGGUUGGGAGCAAUUCCACUAAUGCUGCUGGGUCUAUUCACAAGCUCAGAGGUCUGUGAUGAGGGGUAACACAUCUCUGAGUACUUCAGGACUAGUGUUUUAUCAUGAACUAUGCAUUGCUUGUAAACAGGCUUAAUUUCUGUUGCAGGGUGCCUUGGAAACAGCUCCCUAAUCAUGACUGUCAUGUGGAAGAGUUGUGAGCCCAAGGACAAAAGAAAAUCCUGCUAAUGGAUUGAAGGCAUCUUUAUGCUUUCUAAAACGCCAGCUUUCCUUGCAGGGAGUCUGCUCCACGGAAAACAACAGCAAGGACCAGCCGCCAGAAAAAUAAUGGAUGAAGAGUAGUGACAGAUCUUGCAAUAUGACCCCUGAAAAAAACAUUGGUGCUACAGACCAAGAACCAAGUACCUUAGUGCAGGAUCAGCGCACAUGAAGUCAAGCACUUUCUUCUGAGUGGCGGUUGGAGAAAACGUAUAGUCUGCAUGAAAUCUCUAACGUCUGGCUGGUAUACAAUAAAGCUGAUGAUCAGAGCUGAA